UAACAGAGGGAAACUUCUGAUAAUACUGGAUAAGUUAGUAUAUCGCAUGAUAUGCAAAUGAAAGCUACGGCACUAAAGGAGAGCUUUGCGUCCUAUUAGCUAGUUGGUAAGGUAAGAGCUUACCAAGGCGAUGAUAGGUAGCCGGCCUGAGAGGGUGGACGGCCACAAGGGGACUGAGAUACGGCCCUUACUCCUACGGGAGGCAGCAGCG
RNAcentral lists this ribosomal RNA (211 nucleotides) under uncultured Leptotrichia sp. Its description in RNAcentral is "partial 16S ribosomal RNA". It matches the Rfam family "Bacterial small subunit ribosomal RNA", at positions 144 to 356 of the family's 1533-position model. The record is from RNAcentral. Lineage: Bacteria; Fusobacteriati; Fusobacteriota; Fusobacteriia; Fusobacteriales; Leptotrichiaceae.